Molecule: long non-coding RNA, 309 nt
Filed under: Elaeis guineensis (African oil palm)
Lineage: Eukaryota; Viridiplantae; Streptophyta; Magnoliopsida; Arecales; Arecaceae
Description: long non-coding RNA (EGUI_LNC080690)
Source: RNAcentral
CUUCUAUAGCGGGACACUACUCCGAGCUUCCACGACAACUGGUCCUUGCCCGAGCUCCUACAAUAAGCAGCCCCCUUUCGACCUCUCGCGAGAAUCGAAGCCCAUCCGAACUUCUCCAGCGGAUGGAUUCCAGACGAGCUUCUAUGACGAACGAGCUCCAGCAACUAGGUCCCUGCGAUAGCCGAUCGCCUCCGAUGUCUUCCGAACCUCCCCAGCGCUAUCCGAAGUCCAUCACCGGCCGACCUCCCACCAGGCUCCCCAUAAAAUCGAACUUUUCCGGCGGACAAUCUUCGGAUGAGCUUUCGCAUC